RNAcentral lists this unclassified non-coding RNA (364 nucleotides) under plant metagenome. RNAcentral's name for it is "partial contains small subunit ribosomal RNA, internal transcribed spacer 1, and 5.8S ribosomal RNA". The record is from RNAcentral.
UUUCCGUAGGUGAACCUGCGGAAGGAUCAUUAACACACAUUAUCCACUUUGCUGUCUUUUUUGACCUUCGGGUUGAAAGGGGCAGCCAAAGCACCCCAGUGAAGAGUUGAAGUCCUUAACCCCACAUCCGACACACCCCCCGUCAAAGGGGGAUAUUGGCGGUCCUGUGGGGUUAAAAAUUCAAGAACCCAACAAUAAACUUGCCUAAAAAACAGAAAGCUGGUGUGUUGUGUGUGACUUUGACCCUUUUUUUUGGAAAACCUCUCAGGGGGUCUCCAACAAGGGAGGGAAGCGGAAGCACACUUCCACGGCGAGAAAGAAAAAAACCGAGAAACAACUUUUAACAACGGAUAUCUUGGUUCUC